UACGGAGGGUGCUAGCGUUGUUCGGAAUUACUGGGCGUAAAGCGCGUGUAGGCGGCCGAUUAAGUCUGGUGUGAAAGCCCGGGGCUCACCCCCGGAAGUGCGCUGGAAACUGGUCGGCUAGAGUAUGGGAGAGGAAAGUGGAAUUCCCGGUGUAGCGGUGAAAUGCGUAGAUAUCAGGAGGAACACCUGUGGUGUAGACGGCUUACUGGACCAUGACUGACGCUGAGGCACGAAAGCGUGGGGAGCAAACAGG
Molecule: ribosomal RNA, 253 nt
Filed under: uncultured bacterium
Lineage: Bacteria
Description: partial 16S ribosomal RNA
Rfam family: Bacterial small subunit ribosomal RNA
Source: RNAcentral